Molecule: non-coding RNA, 256 nt
Filed under: Staphylococcus haemolyticus JCSC1435
Lineage: Bacteria; Bacillati; Bacillota; Bacilli; Caryophanales; Staphylococcaceae
Description: Staphylococcus sRNA 35 (srn_0335)
Rfam family: Staphylococcus sRNA 35 (srn_0335)
About the family: Other name: Srn_0335, SAOUHSCs258.
Source: Rfam by way of RNAcentral
UACUUUUGUUAGAAGGGAGUGGGGCAGAAAUAAUAUUUUCCAAAAUUUAUUUUACCCCAGCCUGCUUUGCUUGUAGAUUUUCUUGUUGAAAAUCUCUUUGCUGGGGCCCCGCACCCCAGCUUGCUUUGCUUGUGGAUUUUCUUGUUGAAAAUCUCUUUGCUGGGGCCCCGCACCCCAACUUGCUUAGCUCGUGGAAUUUCUUUAAGAAAUUCUCUUUGUUGGGGCCCCGCACUCAACUACGAUUCAUUAUCUAUAU